Non-coding RNA from Chelonoidis abingdonii (Abingdon island giant tortoise), 749 nucleotides. NCBI's taxonomy places the organism in Eukaryota, Metazoa, Chordata, Testudines, Testudinidae. The record is from RefSeq and is a predicted model, not a curated record.
CGGCGGCCAAAGGAGGGGCCGCGCGCCGCCCCCCCGGGCAACGCCCCCCCGGGGUCACCCCACACCGAGUAAUGCAUCUUCAGGGGUCACCCCGCAACAGUGGAUGGAAGAGUGCAAGGCACGUGGAUCCAGAUGAAGGAACUGACCAUCUCUGAGAUACCUCCUCUGGCUGGAGAGGCAGUUCAACAGGAGGUUGAAGAGACAGAUUAAUUCUUCAGGUCCAAGAAUCAGAACUGUCUCCAUCAUAGUGGAACUAGCUGAAACCUCCCUGAGCUUCUUGAGUACUCUUGGUUCAAUAGAAGUGGAAGACUGAGAGAGGUGAAAAGUUGCAAAGUCUGCUGCGUGAUGUCGGUUACCUGUUGAUGAGACUUGGCACAAAUGAGCCAGUUGUAAAGAUCAACCUGGACUUUUUGUUUCCUGAGUUGGCUACGAGACUCCAUCCCAUCAUGGCACAAGAAGAGCUGGCCUCAAUUAUUCAUGCCUUCAUCAUCUUUCAGCUGGACUACAGCAAUGUGACAUACCUGGGCAUGAAACCUUCAGCACUUUGGAACUUCCAACUACUAUAAAACACUCCAGCACAGUCUCCUCAAAAACAAAGGCUACUAUGAACACAUCCUACUCUCUAAACUGGCUCCGGAUAGAAUUCUGAAUCAAGUUCAAGGUAUUGGUCCUUAUCUUCAAAUUGUGCCAUGGCCUGGACUCAAGAUACAAAAGAAUCUCAAGAGUUACGAACGUCUUGGGAAUGGAGG